UCGCCGAAAUUGAAUAUGGAAUUAGAAAGUAGACAGGAGUUUCUUUUAUCAGGUUGGAUCAUGUCUAAACUACAUUGCACAUAUUUUAGCUUGAACCAAAUUAGACCUAAAUAACCAAUGAACCUAAUAGGUCAAGUCAAAUGGGAUUGAUAAUUACAGAAACCAAAUCUAAUCCUAUUUUAAGAAAAUGGAUCUAGACUUUGAUAGGGAUCAGAGCAUGAGUCUUCAACUACAGCUUGGUUAGGCUAUAGCGAAGGUGCAAAUGAGCUGAACUAAGCCGAGUAUCAGGUUGCUUAGCUUGGCUCAACAUAUUAAUCGAAAAGUUUCAUAGCUUUGCUCGAGAUCAAGCUGCACUUUAGAUGAACUGCUCGAGCUCGGCUUGACCAAGUUUUAACAUGAAUCUUCGUUCUCCAAUAGAGUCAUUAUUCACACUUAUUUACGAAGUCGAGCUAGCCCAAGUUGCAGUGAGUUUGUAGACCUGGACCGAAACGCAUUCCCUAAUGUACAACUUUUGCACAUCAUCCAUCUUAGAGAUGUGCAGCUCUCUCUUUUAACUUUCCCAUAUGCUAUGUGUCGCAUUGAAAAAUGCACGGACAUCUUCUAGAAUAUAUGAGAACCGCCCAUCUCUAAGAUGAAUG
This 638-nucleotide long non-coding RNA is filed under the name Phoenix dactylifera (date palm). Its description in RNAcentral is "long non-coding RNA (PDAC_LNC004863)". The record is from RNAcentral. Lineage: Eukaryota; Viridiplantae; Streptophyta; Magnoliopsida; Arecales; Arecaceae.